UCACGUGCGAUGUCUCUUAGCUGAUAAGGGCCCUUAGGCCAACAAGGCUCUUUGGGAGUGAUACCCUUAGCAUAGGUGAUAGGAGAAGCGACGUCAUCCACAAGGCAGUGAGGCAGAGUUAUCUCUUCCACAUAGCUAAGGGAUGGCACAAUGUCCAAGGUGGAGCACAAAGCGGAGCAAUGGUCACCACAAAGCCAGUGGGAGGAGCAAAGUCCCAGGCAGAGCCAGAGGUGGGGAGUGACAUUGUCUGCAAAGCAAAGGGGGGACCGACAUACACCAAGAAGCAUGAGGAAGGAGUAAUGUCCUCAGUGGAGUGAUGUCCAAAGUGGAGCCGGGUGGCGUAGCAACAUCUAAGGUGGAGCAGGAAGACAGAGUCACGCCCAUGGCAAGGCCAUGAUCUGUAAUGGCAUCCUCUGUGGGGCAGAGGGGUGGAGGGACCCUACUCUUUCCCUUUUGCUCCAUAUCAUGUGGUUCUUCUCCAGGAGGGCUUCUUGGAUGCUGAAAAACUCUGCAGCAUUAAUGGUAAGUCAAGAGUUCUGUCACAACUGGGAGGUAAAGGCAGAUGCAAAUGCAGACAUUUUAUUAAGUAAAGUGCAAACAAAAUCAAAGACCUGAAAACAAGAAUCAUAAUGGCUGAUGGGUGGUGUAGUUCUGUGCCCCUUUGGUCCUACCAUGACAAUAUACAUACUGCCAAAAUAUAGCAUAAGGGCUAAUUUUUCUAUUUAUUUAUUUAUUUAUUUUUUCAAUUUGCUAAGUGAUGUUUGAUGUAUUACUGCUUGAUAUUACAGUCUCCUAUCCAAAUGUGAACAGACAUAAAAAGCCCACAUACAUUUUACAUUUCUUUUUAGGAACUAUGUUCAGUUUCCAUUGAAGUUAUUUUGGUUAGAUUAUUAAAUUUAUUUAUUCUUUAUUGCUUUUACACAGCACAUACUCAGCAUGACAAAAAUAUCUUAAUAUCUUGCUCAUACUUUAAUUUCUUUUGCACAUCAAAACCAUGCAUUGCAGCUCCUUUCAGUGUCAGCACAGGCAGAUGCUUAAUGGCUUGGGUAUUGUAUUACAGAUAUCCCACCUAAUAUACCCUACCAACACAUCUCACAGCUCAAGUUACGGUUGCUUACUUGCCUGCAGAUGGAAUUUUGUUGAAAGGCUGGGAUCGUGGGGGGUGGGGGUGUUUUAUUUUUUCCUUACAAGUAGCUGUUGAUUAGUCAUUCAUUAUAUAAACACUUAAAUGUUGUUGCAGUUUUUAUAUAAAAAUACAUUUUCUAUUAGCAAAUUUCCCAGAUUUAAGAUACAGAGCUGCUUAUUCACAAAUGUGACCAUAAAUUAAUAAAAAAUAUAUUGUACAUAUACUUAUGUAAUAAAUAAAAUGCAAAUAUCUUGCAUC
Molecule: long non-coding RNA, 1384 nt
Organism: Ictalurus furcatus (blue catfish)
Lineage: Eukaryota; Metazoa; Chordata; Actinopteri; Siluriformes; Ictaluridae
Exons: 2
Source: RefSeq, a predicted model, not a curated record